UUCGUAAUGCAGGGGAACCCCGAACCACACGAUGGCGACGGGUUGAGAUAGGCGGACGCCUGACCCUUAGAACCUGUUGGUUAACACCAUCGUAGGGAGCAACGUCAUGGACGAG
This 115-nucleotide non-coding RNA is filed under the name Bifidobacterium minimum. RNAcentral describes it as "TPP sequence". It matches the Rfam family "TPP riboswitch aptamer (THI element)". Rfam says of the family: Vitamin B(1) in its active form thiamin pyrophosphate (TPP) is an essential coenzyme that is synthesised by coupling of pyrimidine and thiazole moieties in bacteria. The previously detected thiamin-regulatory element, thi box was extended, resulting in a new, highly conserved RNA secondary structure, the THI element, which is widely distributed in eubacteria and also occurs in some archaea. Lineage: Bacteria; Bacillati; Actinomycetota; Actinomycetes; Bifidobacteriales; Bifidobacteriaceae. The record is from Rfam by way of RNAcentral.